UACGUAGGGUGCGAGCGUUGUCCGGAAUUAUUGGGCGUAAAGAGCUCGUAGGCGGCUUGUCGCGUCGGAUGUGAAAGCCCGGGGCUUAACUCCGGGUCUGCAUUCGAUACGGGCAGGCUGGAGUGCGGUAGGGGAGAUCGGAAUUCCUGGUGUAGCGGUGAAAUGCGCAGAUAUCAGGAGGAACACCGGUGGCGAAGGCGGAUCCCUGGGCCGUUACUGACGCUGAGGAGCGAAAGCGUGGGGAGCGAACAGG
RNAcentral lists this ribosomal RNA (253 nucleotides) under uncultured bacterium. Its description in RNAcentral is "partial 16S ribosomal RNA". It matches the Rfam family "Bacterial small subunit ribosomal RNA", at positions 524 to 776 of the family's 1533-position model. The record is from RNAcentral.